AAAUCUAAAUGAAUCUGAACUGUCUGAGCUUGUUACCACAGAAACAAACUUGAAGCAUUAAGGCAGCGAUGAGUCAGGGUUGUUUUCGCCUGGUAGUCGGGGCACACCUUAAUCCCCUGCAGACCUGCAUCCUUGUCGAAAUGUCAGCCUGAAGUGUGUGUCUCCGCCGUUCACAUCCACACAUUAACAACCUGAAUGAACUUGUUAUUCGUCGAUCUCCUUUCUUGCUCUUCUCAGGCCUUGCUUUCCAGCCGUCGGACUGCCGCAUCCGCUCCCUGCGCGGCGCUGCAUGGCAACGGGAGGAGGAGGCUGUGCGGGAUAAGGGAGGGUACCGCGGCCCCACGUGUCCUCCUCGCCGCAGACCCUUCGCAGUUCUGCUCGGUUUCCCAUCCCUCCGUUUCCGCAUACCGCACACACACAUAUACAACUCCAGCCAUACACCCAGCGCCUACUACGCAUCCGCGCAGCGCUGCGGAGCGAUGCAUCCGCGAUGCGCGCUCUCUCGUUCCUCGCCGAUCCCAUCGCCGAUCAGUCUGUAGGCCCGGAUCGAUUAAUUUUUCAUCUUUCUGAUAUGCAAAUCCAGACUCUCCGUGGCAGUGCUGACCGGAGCUGAGAGGGCGAGAGGUAGAGAGGGGGGAGAGAUGAGAGGACGCGCAUCAUCAGAUGUUUAGCAGAUUAACUUUGGAUCCUCGCCAUCAUCUCUGCUGUGCGUUUUUUGAUCUUUUUCCUCCUCUCCACCUGCCGGGCUUCCUGACAUUUGGCGGGGGUUCUCCAUGCGGUAAUCGGAGGGAAUAUGUGAAGAUCAUGCUGGCGGUGUGGUGCUUCAUGGUCUUUGGUGCAGUGGGCGAGAGGCUUGCGGUGUCAGGUGCAGAUAGAGGACUGUGGGACUGGUUUGCCCCCUCAGGCCAGCUGGAUAAUGGGGAAACUGAGAUCACCUAUCCAAAGCGACUGGUGCAGCAGAUCAAGUCAGAGGAGGAAAUGGCUCAUGACUUCUUGGAUACCAGGGUGAAGAACAGCAGUGGGGACAGCUCGCCUGUCCACCUGGCUCUGAGCUGCUUUCAAGUCGAAGCCUUCGGACACACCUUCACUCUUGACCUGGAACUAAACCAUCACCUGCUGUCUUCAGAUUAUGUGGAGAGGCACUUUAACUACAAUGGCAAACCACUUCAGUCUGUGGGAGGAGAGCACUGCUACUACCAAGGAAGACUAAGAGGUUUACCAGCGUCCUGGGCAGCUGUCUCCACUUGUCACGGCCUCUGUGGGAUGUUCUCUGAUGGUUUCUACUCUUAUGGAAUUGAGCCUGUUCACAAUACGAGCUGGAAGGAAGAAGGAGCUCACUUAAUUCGCAGGAUGCCCGAUAUCAGACUUUCCCAGCACUGCCCAGAGUGUACAGAAGACAGUGAGCAGGACAGCAGUGAAAGUGUUGAAGAUGACAGUAGACCAGAGCAAACGGAGGACCAGCAGGUGACCGGGGGGCUGAGAAGAUCCAAGAGGUUUGUCCGCAGGCCUUCUGUCCAGACAGAGACCAAAUACAUUGAGCUCAUGGUGGUAAACGACUAUGAUCUGUUUGUGCAGCUGCGUCGCUCGAGCAGCCAAACCAAAAACUUUGCCAAAGCUGUAGUCAACACAGCAGACACGAUCUUUCAGGAGCAGCUGAACACCAGGAUUGUUUUGGUGGCCAUGGAGACCUGGACCUCGGAGAACCUGAUGCCAGUCGUGGAGGACCCGCUAAUCACGCUGCAGAACUUCAUGAAGUACAGGAAGGACAGCAUCAGGGAGCAGAGCGACGUUGUCCAUCUUUUCUCAGGGCGUACAUUUCACAGUAGCCGCAGUGGGACAGCCUACACAGGAGGGGUGUGUUCUCCAACGAAAGGAGGAGGAAUUAAUGAGUAUGGGAGUGUUGGGGCAAUGGCCAUCACCUUGUGUCAGAGUCUUGGCCAGAACAUCGGGAUGAGAUGGAACAACGCAAGAGCCUCAGCAGGUGACUGCAGAUGCCCAGAUGCCUGGGUGGGCUGCAUAAUGGAAGACACCGGAUUUUAUCUGCCCAGAAAGUUUUCUCGCUGUAGUGUUGACGAGUACAUCCAGUUCUUGCUCCAGGGAGGUGGGAGCUGCCUCUUCAACAAGCCGAAUAAGCUGUUGGACCCUCCAGAGUGUGGAAACGGCUUUGUGGAGCCAGGAGAAGAGUGUGACUGUGGAUCCCAGGUGGAAUGUGCCCGCAGCGGAGGAGCCUGCUGUAAAAAGUGUACUCUUACCCAUGACGCCAUGUGCAGCAAUGGACUCUGCUGCAGUGGCUGUAAAUAUGAGCUGCGAGGUGUUGUCUGUCGAGAGGCCGUGAACGACUGUGAUAUUCCCGAAACCUGCACAGGAGACUCCAGCCAGUGCCCUCAUAAUGUCCACAAGCUGGACGGUUACAUGUGUGACAUCAGCCAGGGACGCUGCUAUGGUGGACGCUGCAGGACUCGCGAUGGACAGUGCAAAGGACUCUGGGGCUAUAAUUCAGCAGACAGGUUCUGUUAUGAGAAGCUGAACGCUGAAGGUACAGAGAAGGGGAACUGUGGUCGGGGGGCUGAAGGGAAAGGCUGGCUGCAGUGCAACAAGCCGGAUGUAUUAUGUGGCUUCCUUUUCUGUGCAAACAUCACAACAAAGCCAAAAUUUGGUGAUCUGCAGGGUGAGGUGACCAGCUUUACCCUGUACCAUCAGAACAAGUACCUGGACUGCAGAGGUGGCCACGCACUGCUAGAGGAUGGCUCCGACAUGGGCUACGUGGAGGACGGCACGCCCUGCGGUCCGAACAUGAUGUGUUUGGAGAGACGCUGCCUCCCUGUCGCAGCGUUUAACCUCAGCACCUGUACAGGAUCUAAACUUGGACACAUUUGCUCUGACCACGGGACCUGCAGCAACGAGGUGAAGUGCAUCUGUGACCGGGACUACACAGGAAAGGACUGCAGCGUUUUCGAUCCGAUCCCUGAGCCCACCGUCUCGACAGGCCCGGAGAAAAAAGUCUGCCAAUGAGACAGAGAAAUUAAGCAGCUGCUCUUUUAGGCCCAAAACUGCCACCCUGAGCAAGAGGGUGUCCAGCUGAGAGAGCAGGAGAGGGGGAAUAAGAACAAAGAACAUUCGAAGAGGAAGAUCUGGAGGAGGAUAAGAUCACUGUCUGUCUCUCUGUUUGUGUCCUGUCCAUGCUUGUAUUCCUCCUCGCACCGUGUCGUUUCCACGUUAAAG
RNA transcript from Xiphophorus hellerii (green swordtail), 3222 nucleotides. It is a transcript of the gene named disintegrin and metalloproteinase domain-containing protein 11-like, with no coding region annotated. The transcript has 26 exons. The record is from RefSeq and is a predicted model, not a curated record. NCBI's taxonomy places the organism in Eukaryota, Metazoa, Chordata, Actinopteri, Cyprinodontiformes, Poeciliidae.